This is a non-coding RNA of Coturnix japonica (Japanese quail), 1521 nucleotides long. Lineage: Eukaryota; Metazoa; Chordata; Aves; Galliformes; Phasianidae. The record is from RefSeq and is a predicted model, not a curated record.
UUAUUAAAAAUGAAGAGUGUUGUAGUAAAGUUGCACUUCAAUAGCACAUCCUAUAUGCAAACACCAUCUGUUUGCAGGAUCUCUCUGCAAAACUCGAUUCAACAGUGGCUUCCUCUCCCCUUCCUUUGGCAAAGUUUCAGACCAAAAGGUCACUUGAAAUGUAGUAAUGCUACUUGGCACAUUCAUACGCUAUUUUCAUACCUAUAUUUCAAAGCAGUUUGCUUAGUCUGGUUAUUCCUAACCUAAGGAAGGGGGAGCACACCCAGAGAAAGGAACUCAACCAAGGCUGCACGUUGAAUCUGUGCUGGAAUAAAGAAGAAAAGCGGGGGCUUUGCCCCAGCCUGUGUGGUUAUCCAGCCCGUGGGAGGGAGCAGAGGCUGCACACCAGCUCCCCCUGCCCAAUGUGAUGGCUGUGCUGCAAGGCAUGGCUGCUUCCAGCUGUACCCCUCAGCCCUCACCAUAGACCUUUUUUGCUCCUGUCCACGCACGGACCCACAGCCCUCUAUGAAGGAGCCAAAACAGCACUUGGAGCAACACCAACAAGCUCCUGCAGUAUCAGGUUCAUCGCUCUCACUCAAGUGAUACCGUUACCACUCCCAGCAACCUCUCUCCUGUAUUAAUGGCAUCAAAUCCAUUGGUAAAGAAUGAGGAUAAGCAAAGUGGCAUUUCUACAGCCAGCUGGUUUCCAAACCUUUGGCAUUUCUUUAGGGAGGCACUGGCAAUACAACACCCCAUGCAACUCUACUUCAACUGCCCAAAGCAAGGCAGCAGCAAACCAAAGAACGUUGCAUCUUUCAGUUUUACAUGAUGGAAAUAGAUGCAUUUACGUGAGCAACAUCUGUACCAUUUUCUUUCCACCAGCCCAGACCGAACAAAGCAAUGAUCUGGAGCCUGCCUACAGCCCCCACACUGCACUAAUAAUAAGCGAAGCGGAUCACAAGUGUGACAUGAAUAAUUAUCUGUUUCCAAUCUGCUAUAUGCUGCAUGAAGGAAACAAACCGUGCAGGAAAUGUAAUGCUCCUGGUCAGGAUGCUCAGAACAAGAAUUCAGCAUCAGUAUCUGAAACGCAACUGAAGAGGAUUCAGUGUACACCCCACCUAACAACAGAACGCUUUUAUUCCACAGGUGGGGGCAGCCCCAGCAGAGCACAGAGCACCCUGGGACUGCUGAGCUGAGCCACGAUGCUCUGAGCUCUGCAGCGCAUCCAAAGGAUGAGGUGCCACCAUUGAGGGCUGCUGGGAGCUAUACAGAAAACACAGCCACCGUGUCACUCAGCUUGUGUACAACUUGGAUGUGAAUCUAUUUAGACAGCUGCCAGAGAAGUGGGGACUGAGGACAGAGGAGGACAUGGCAAGGAAGAGGACAAGAAGAGUAUCGAAAUGGUGAACAGUUAAACACACAGAACAGAAUGACUGCUUGCUGUAAUUAGAAGUAUUAUAACGAAUACACAGCACUGUUCAUCUAAGGUCUACUUAGUAUUCAUCUUGAAAUACAUUAAUGGAAGCCAGGCUCCAUACACAA